UUCCGGUAGUGAACCUGCGGAAGGAUCAUUACCUAGAGUUUGCAGACUUCGGUCUGCUACCUCUUACCCAUGUCUUUUGAGUACCUUCGUUUCCUCGGCGGGUCCGCCCGCCGGUUGGACAACAUUCAAACCCUUUGCAGUUGCAAUCAGCGUCUGAAAAAACUUAAUAGUUACAACUUUCAACAACGGAUCUCUUGGUUCUGGCAUCGAUGAAGAACGCAGCGAAAUGCGAUAAGUAGUGUGAAUUGCAGAAUUCAGUGAAUCAUCGAAUCUUUGAACGCACAUUGCGCCCCUUGGUAUUCCAUGGGGCAUGCCUGUUCGAGCGUCAUUUGUACCUUCAAGCUCUGCUUGGUGUUGGGUGUUUUGUCUCGCCUCCGCGCGCAGACUCGCCUUAAAACAAUUGGCAGCCGGCGUAUUGAUUUCGGAGCGCAGUACAUCUCGCGCUUUGCACUCAUAACGACGACGUCCAAAAGUACAUUUUUACACUCUUGACCUCGGAUCAGGUAGGGAUACCCGCUGAACUUAAGCAUAUCAAUAAGCG
This 541-nucleotide ribosomal RNA is filed under the name Epicoccum sp. CBMAI 1028. Its description in RNAcentral is "eukaryotic LSU rRNA". The stretch from base 175 to 328 matches the Rfam family "5.8S ribosomal RNA". Lineage: Eukaryota; Fungi; Ascomycota; Dothideomycetes; Pleosporales; Didymellaceae. The record is from RNAcentral.